UUCGAAGUAUAAAACGCAAAUAUGUAUGUAUAUGUACAUAUGCAUGUACGUAGCUACGUAUGAAUGUAUGUACAUACAUACGUGAACAUUUUUGAAAUACAUAUGUGUGUACGCAUGUAUGUUUAUGUGUAUGUUCGCAUUGGCGUUGAAAUGGCAUUGCUGUUGGCAUAAACCAUGUGCUAAUUGAUUGCGUUUUGGCUCAAACUGCUAACUCGCUGUAACCACAAUGCGUGUGUUCGAACAAAUAACAAAAAUAUAAUAAAAAUGGACUCCUUGGCAAUGAGUUUCUCUAUUAUACCGUGUUAUGGAGAAGUGGGUUUAUCAGUCCAAUUACAACGUCGACUCUUUAAGAAAAACAGUAAGCCCCUAACUGUGCCUAGUAAUUUUGUUUUUAAUAAUUUUUUAUGCGUACGUACACAUGUUCUACCGAUUCAACUUUUUACGUUUUAUUCAAUUUAAGUAAGUGUAUUUGAAGUUGUUUUAAAUGUUGGCUUUUUGGCUAACAUAAAAUAUUGACCAAAAUUAAGAAAUUAUAAGUGUACGCACUUAUCUUUGAAAAGAGGCCGCAUUGAAUAAAACGCAUGACACACUUAAUUUCUCUCUCUGUCGAAGAUUUCGGUUCUCUUUUGUGUUCUGCUUUGAAAAAAGACGGCACAAAGAAAGCGACCAAAACGAAGACGCAUUUACAGUUAUGCGAUGGAAAGUAAAAGUCGAAAUCAAUGAAUUUAUAUUGUUUGUUUUGGAAUGUAUGCGAAAUGGGUAAAAAAUCAUUGAGAAGAAAAUAAAACGAAUAGCGGCAAAAACAAGGUUGUGUUCGCACAGUAAGCCCUAACUAACAUAGAAAGAUAAGAAAAUAUUUUUUUUAUUAAAACAGAACAUUGUGGUAAUAUAAUAUAGUUUUAAUAAAAAAGUGUUUGUUUUAUUAAAUUUUUUCGCGUUGAUCCCAUCACUGGGCCUGUCAUUUCAUUUUUGGUGUGUUUGCUUUUUAAGCUUCGUUUUCAUAGUUGGCUCUAAUCUUUUACAGUAGACAAUCGCCAUCUCGCUCACACGCCGCAAACAAGUUGGAUUUACCGUUGCGUAUUUUUUUUUUUAAGUUUUUAUUUUGGUUUUGCUGCUCAUUUUAAAUGCCCACGAAAAGAAGCAACAAUAACAACAGGUUGAUGAUGAGUAAUGAAAGAAGAGAAAAAAAAUCCAAAUUGAGUUGCUCUCAUAGUUACAGAGAGAGAGAGAGAGAGGAGAGAAAGAGAACAAGACUGAAUAACAAGAGAGCGUGGAAGAAAAUAAAAGAAUGUAAAUAUUUUUAACCAAAAUAAACAAAUGGUUUAAAAUCAAUUAUCAAGCAAGAAUUUGCUGGUGGCCUAUUGCCUUAUCACUAAAGCUUUAAAAUGUUAUUAAAUUCCCUCCCUUGUUAUUUUCUCUGAGAAAUUAUAUGAAAAGUGAAGACACACUGUAGUAGAAUUUAUUUAUCAAAUAGCUAUUUUAUAUAUUGUUUCACAUUUUAACCGCUUCAUUUCAAAAAGAAAAUUUGUAUUUCUGCAAUCAAUGGCAAUAACUAUCAUAGUAAUUUUUCAAGAAUAGAAACAGAAGCAAAACAAACAAAAGCUCAUUUAAAUGACGUCAUGUGGCUUGUUUCAAUGUAAAAAUGUCAGACACUUGAACCAAUUUUGUUGUUGUAAUUUUGUCGGCGCUUUUCCGACGCCUAGCAGCGAACUGGGUCAAUAUCUUAAUUAAUUUUAAUGGGCUUAAUUUAAAGACAAAGGAAGCGAGCACUAACAAAGUUACAUCAAUCAUUUGCGUAUUGCAAUCGUGCGGAAUAAGGUGGGGAAGCUAUGUUUUCUGCUCUACUUUUUGAAAAAUGCGAACUCAGACAAGAAAAAUAUGUAGUAAUAUGCAGAAGGUUUUAUAUUUGUAUAUACUGCGAAGUUAUCUGUAAAGUUUUUAGCUUAGGACGCAAAUCUUGUCAACCUUUAGGAUAUAGCCAAACUGACAAAAAAAAAAAAUAUGUAUAUGUUUGUACAUGUGUGUGUAUUACAUAUGUUUGAGUUGGAUAUCUCAAGAUCUAGGAAUAUGUUUGGUUAAUUUUUUUGCUGACUCAAAAUUAUAUGCAAAUGCCAAAAUGAUUAUACAUACAUACAUACAUACAUACGUGCAUAUACAUAUCAUGUGUAGUGAUUUACUUUCUGCAAGAAGGGUAACGUUACUUAAAUCUCCGAGUCGCCGCACAUUCUUCAGAUAAUUUAAUAAAAAGGGCGUGAAGUGAAAACAAGGCUUAGUAAUAGUACUACAAACAGAUACAUCCAAAUCUACACAAAUACACAUACUACAUGAAUUUAGCGAUAACAACAAAAUGCGGGCAUCUGAUUUAUGCAGAGAGUAAAGAAGAGAAUAGAGAGAGGGAGGACAGAAGGGAGAGAGAUCAAGCCGGAAGUAACAUUUUAAAGGAGGGUGUGUGUGAAGCGUAACAGAUGCAUUUAACAGUAACAAAAACACCGAUCGUUGACAGGUAGGGCAUGAACGAAGCGGAUAACAAGAGAGGGACGCGAGGUAGCAGAACUGCAAACUGCGAUUUAUUUAGGGUUGUAUGUACAUGUGCGCUCAUAAUGCGCCUGCAUAUGUGUGUACAAGUCUGACCUCGUUGGCAAACUAAAAAAAUAAAGAAGAGCAUGAAAAAGUGUGGAAUAUGGCCGAGCGAACGAAGGCGGAAAAAGAAGCCGCACCUAAAAAAAAAAUCUAUUACAUCACUAGGAAAAUUGACACAAGCGUUAAACUUUUAUAUACAACCACACACCAAAAGCUCACAAACGUGAGGGUGAGGUAGCAUAUUGAAACGGAAACAAAUUGAGCUUUGAAAAAUAGAUUCAUUUUAACUCCUCAAACAUGUAAAGACCAACAAAUAACUACAAAUUGUGGGGGAAGAAAAAACGAUAUCAACAUAAUAUUUAAGUCUGUGAGCAACGAACUGACCCAAGUUUUGUAAUAACCAAAAACUAUGUAUGAAUCAAUAUUACUGAGAAAUAUGAAAAUAGGAACUAUUUUCGAGGUCUAACGCAUCAAAGCGUAAGUCAACCUUACAAAGCCCCUCGAAUACCUAAUUUUCUGACAGCUAAACUAAGAGAAUGUUUAUAUAAAAAGGCUAACUUUGUAGGAAAACUAAAGGUACCACUGUUUAAACCCCAAUUUUAUAAAUAAGAAAAUAAAAGGAAGAAAGUCUAAUGGACUUAAAUUUACAAAAUACAAUCUGAACCCACGAGCGACUGCAACUACAACUCUUCUAGAAACUUCUUUUCGCAGGAAAAUCGUUGAAAAUAUUCCCGAGAGUGUGCGAGCCGAGAGAGCUGCCAGCGACAAAGCGACAAGUGAGCGCGGCGAAUUUAAAUCGCCCCGCUAGUUUAGCAUUGGAGAGCGUCGAUUUCGGCCGCGGAGCGAGGUUCGUUGAAGUUUUGAACGUCGGCUCCCAAAUCGUUCGUGAUUGUUAGGGGACUGACGUUCCCGACGAGACUCCCACUCUGUGCUUAUUCUACCAUGUGUUUGACAACGCGGUUCAGUCUGCCGCCAGCGCGGACCGAAGUAGCGGGAUUUGUCAAAAAAGUAUUUCACCGAUUGCUGGCAAGCGCAUCCGCUGACUCUCCCUCUCUCCUUGUCUCGCUGGCUGUCUUUGUUGCUCUUCGCCGCUGUUAACGUUUUCGAACAGCGUGCUAACAUUGAGUGUUGGAAGACGAAAUGCAAUGGACAAAGGAUAAGAUUUUACCGCAGGCUAUCAUUCCCGAUGUUGGGGCUUGAAAGAGCGAAACCGUGGACUAGCCACAGAAACAUUUUUAAAUGUGUCCACGCUGCCCACGGGAAGAAACUGAUCACGAAGCUCUUCUGAAUAAACAUCACCAAUGCUUGUAAACAA
Molecule: long non-coding RNA, 3895 nt
Organism: Drosophila ficusphila
Lineage: Eukaryota; Metazoa; Arthropoda; Insecta; Diptera; Drosophilidae
Exons: 2
Source: RefSeq, a predicted model, not a curated record